Molecule: transfer RNA, 58 nt
Filed under: Salmo salar (Atlantic salmon)
Lineage: Eukaryota; Metazoa; Chordata; Actinopteri; Salmoniformes; Salmonidae
Rfam family: tRNA
About the family: Transfer RNA (tRNA) molecules are approximately 80 nucleotides in length.
Source: Rfam by way of RNAcentral
UGGCUCAAUUGGUAGAGCAUGGUGCUUGCAAUGCCAAGGUUGUGGAUUUAAUUCCCAC